This 499-nucleotide ribosomal RNA is filed under the name uncultured bacterium. RNAcentral describes it as "bacterial SSU rRNA". It matches the Rfam family "Bacterial small subunit ribosomal RNA", at positions 28 to 530 of the family's 1533-position model. The record is from RNAcentral.
GAUGAACGCUGGCGGCGUGCCUCAAACAUGCAAGUCGAGCGGGGCUAUGUAAUAUCGCAAGGUAGAACAUAGCCUAGCGGCGAACGGGUGAGUAACACGUGGGUAACCUGCCUGGAAGACAGGGAUAACGAUUCGAAAGGGUCGCUAAUACCUGAUAAUAUCCUUUCAUCGCAUGGUGAUAGGAAGAAAGGGGAAACCCGCUUUCAGAUGGGCCCGCGUCCCAUCAGCUAGUUGGUAAGGUAAAGGCUUACCAAGGCGACGACGGGUAGCCGGUCUGAGAGGAUGUACGGCCACACUGGGACUGAGAUACGGCCCAGACUCCUACGGGAGGCAGCAGUUGGGAAUCUUAGGCAAUGGACGAAAGUCUGACCUAGCGACGCCGCGUGAGGGAAGAAGGCCUUCGGUUGUAACCGUACUGUCAUGGGGAAGAAGUAAGUGACGGUACCCAACGAGGAAGCCCUGCUAACUACGUGCCAGCAGCCGCGGUAAAGUCACGUCG